UACAGAGGGUGCAAGCGUUACUCGGAAUUACUGGGCGUAAAGCGUGCGUAGACGGUUACACAAGUCGGGUGUGAAAGCCCCGGGCUCAACCUGGGAAUUGCAUUCGAGACUGCGUAGCUAGGGUGCGGAAGAGGGAAGCGGAAUUUCCGGUGUAGCGGUGAAAUGCGUAGAUAUCGGAAGGAACACCAGUGGCGAAAGCGGCUUCCUGGUCCAGCACUGACGUUCAGGCACGAAAGCGUGGGGAGCAAACAGG
RNAcentral lists this ribosomal RNA (253 nucleotides) under uncultured bacterium. RNAcentral's name for it is "partial 16S ribosomal RNA". It matches the Rfam family "Bacterial small subunit ribosomal RNA", at positions 524 to 776 of the family's 1533-position model. The record is from RNAcentral.